This 450-nucleotide ribosomal RNA is filed under the name uncultured bacterium. RNAcentral describes it as "partial 16S ribosomal RNA". It matches the Rfam family "Bacterial small subunit ribosomal RNA", at positions 354 to 796 of the family's 1533-position model. The record is from RNAcentral.
GUGGGGAAUCUUCCGCAAUGGACGAAAGUCUGACGGAGCGACGCCGCGUGAGUGAAGAAGGCCUUCGGGUCGUAAAGCUCUGUCAUCAGGGACGAAUGGCCGGUGGAGUGGAAAGCCACCGGAUUGACGGUACCUGAGAAGGAAGCCACGGCUAACUACGUGCCAGCAGCCGCGGUAAUACGUAGGUGGCAAGCGUUGUCCGGAAUUAUUGGGCGUAAAGCGCGCGCAGGUGGGAUCUUAAGUCCAUUUUGAAAGUUCGGAGCUCAACUCCGUGAUGGGAUGGAAACUGGGAUUCUUGAGUACCGGAGAGGAAAGCGGAAUUCCCCGUGUAGCGGUGAAAUGCGUAGAUAUGGGGAGGAACACCAGUGGCGAAGGCGGCUUUCUGGACGGUGUCUGACACUGAGGCGCGAAAGCCAGGGGAGCGAACGGGAUUAGAUACCCUAGUAGUCC